RNAcentral lists this long non-coding RNA (420 nucleotides) under Gallus gallus (chicken). Its description in RNAcentral is "lncRNA (ENSGALG00010000671.1)". The record is from RNAcentral. Lineage: Eukaryota; Metazoa; Chordata; Aves; Galliformes; Phasianidae.
CACGGGGUUAUAUGGGGGGCUAUGGGGGGAUAUGGAGGUCAUGGGGCCACCUGGGGGACUUAUGGGGUCAUAUGGGGGGUCAUGGGGUCACAUGGGGUCAUGGGGUCACAUGGGGGUUAUGGGGUCACACGGGAUCACGUGGUUAUACAGGUGGUUAUGGGUCACAUGGGGGGUUAUGGGGUCACCUGGCGGUCAUGGGGUCACCUGGGGGACUUAUGGUGUCACAUGAGGGGUCAUGGGGUCACAGGGGUGUUAUGGGGUCACAGGGGGGUUAUGGUGUCACAUGAGGGGUCAUGGGGUCACAGGGGGGUCAUGGGGUCACAGGGGUGUUAUGGGGUCACACGAGGGGUUAUGGGGUCACAUGUGGGGUUAUGGGGUCACAGGGGGGUUAUGGGGUCACAUGAGGGAUCAUGGGGUCAC